Molecule: ribosomal RNA, 254 nt
Filed under: uncultured bacterium
Lineage: Bacteria
Description: partial 16S ribosomal RNA
Rfam family: Bacterial small subunit ribosomal RNA
Source: RNAcentral
UACAGAGGUGCCAAGCGUUAGGCGGAAUCACUGGGCUUAAAGCGCGUGUAGGUGGGUCGUUAAGUGUCCGCGUGAAAUCCCACGGCUCAACCGUGGAACUGCCGGGCAUACUGGCGAUCUUGAGGCAUUCAGGGGCGAGCGGAACAAAUGGUGGAGCGGUGAAAUGCGUAGAUAUCAUUUGGAACGCCAAUGGUGAAAACAGGUAGCUGGGAGUGUGCUGACGCUGAGACACGAAAGCCAGGGGAGCGAACGGG